UACGGAGGGUGCGAGCGUUGUCCGGAAUCACUGGGCGUAAAGGGCGCGUAGGCGGCGCGGGGAGUCAACGGUGAAAGCUCGGCGCUCAACGCCGAGUCGGCCGUCGAUACUCCCGUGCUCGAGCACUGUAGAGGCAGGUGGAAUUCCGGGUGUAGGCGGUGGAAUGCGUAGAGAUCCGGAAGAACACCGGUGGCGAAGGCGGCCUGACUGGGCCAGUAGCUGGACGCUGAGGCGGCGGCAGCGU
This 244-nucleotide ribosomal RNA is filed under the name uncultured bacterium. Its description in RNAcentral is "partial 16S ribosomal RNA". It matches the Rfam family "Bacterial small subunit ribosomal RNA", at positions 524 to 762 of the family's 1533-position model. The record is from RNAcentral.